AUGAACGUACGAUCGUUAACCACUCAAACAUCUUCAUCUCUAGAAGGAACCUCCUCCUAUCAUGACACCCAUGUUACUUCAUCCGGUGAAACUACCUCAUCCCAUGACACCCGUGUCAACUCCUCUACUGUUGGCAAAUCAACAAAGACCGAAGGAUCUCAGUUCAGUGAAUAUACUCCUGUCUACCACAGUGAAAAAUCUCACCUGUUUGAGCAAAGUCAUCAGAAAUUCGAUUUUGAUACUGGUAGUAUUGAAGAGGACAUUUGUAGGAGGAUAGAAGAUAAAAUUUCGAAGGUAAACCAAGGCAAGCUCUUGGAAUCAUCAAGCUGCAUUGCCGAUGCCAUUAAAAUUGUCGAUAAUCUCCUGAUAAAAUCGUCUGUAGGAAGAAGUGAGCCAGAUUUAACGAGGAGUCCGUUGAGCUCAACACAAAAUGUUGUCAGCGAUUUGUUGUCUCAAAGUAAGGAUACAAGUAAAAGCGCUGAAAAUGUUGUCUGGAAAACUCCUGACAGCUCGGUUCUGAAGGAGAAAGAAGAACCAAAGCUAUCAACCCUACCGAAGACAAGUAAAAGCGUUUGGUUUUCAGAGCCGUCUUCCUCAACAAAAUCCGUUCCAAAAGAGAUGAGUGAAAAUUCAGCUAUAAACUCCUCAACCUCCACAACUAUAACCACAUCAGCACCGUCUGUGAAUGAGGCAUCGCUCUUCCACACAACGAUGGGUUUCGCACCAUAUCCAUCCGUUGUUCAUUACUCUCCUUUUCCUCCUUCGUUCAUACCUCCAUCAUCAAUGUAUUUCAGUCCAUAUUACUCCCCUCCGUUUUCAUCUCAGUCUCCGCUGAUGUCUCCAUACCCUCCGUCUGUUUCAAUCAACUCUCCUCCUCCGACCAGUUGCUACCCGAAUAUUCCAUAUUAUGUUCCACACUUACCUUCCUACCCAGCCCCAUUUUCUCCUCCCAUCCUCUCACCAGAAUCUCAAAGAUCUCAUAAAGUUGAACCAGUAUCAAGUACUAAAGGAAUUUAUAAGUCUACACCCGAUAUUCAUUCCGAGUCGACCAAUGUCCCUCUCAGUCCAGGCAGCCGUUCCAAAUCAACAUGGGAUAUCAGGAGUCCACAGAAAACAAAACGAAUACAAGUGACAAUUUAUCCGAUAGUGGCACUUGGAAAUUUGAUAGUAAAAUUGUGA
RNAcentral lists this long non-coding RNA (1179 nucleotides) under Bemisia tabaci. RNAcentral describes it as "lncRNA ENSSSA2NGG003242". Lineage: Eukaryota; Metazoa; Arthropoda; Insecta; Hemiptera; Aleyrodidae. The record is from RNAcentral.